RNAcentral lists this unclassified non-coding RNA (324 nucleotides) under soil metagenome. RNAcentral's name for it is "partial contains 5.8S ribosomal RNA, internal transcribed spacer 2, and large subunit ribosomal RNA". The stretch from base 1 to 120 matches the Rfam family "5.8S ribosomal RNA", at positions 35 to 154 of the family's 154-position model. The record is from RNAcentral.
GAUGAAGAACGUAGCGAAAUGCGAUAAGUAGUGUGAAUUGCAGAAUUCAGUGAAUCAUCGAAUCUUUGAACGCACAUUGCGCCCCUUGGUAUUCCAUGGGGCAUGCCUGUUCGAGCGUCAUUUGUACCUUCAAGCUUUGCUUGGUGUUGGGUGUUUGUCCCUCGGGACUCGCCUUAAAGUCAUUGGCAGCCCGUGUUUUGGUUUUGAAGCGCAGCACAAGUCGCGAUUCAAGGCUAUCCGCCCGCUUCCACAAGCCUUUUUCACUUUUGACCUCGGAUCAGGUAGGGAUACCCGCUGAACUUAAGCAUAUCAAUAAGCGGAGGA